UACGAAGGGGGCUAGCGUUGUUCGGAAUUACUGGGCGUAAAGCGCACGUAGGCGGAUACUUAAGUCAGGGUGAAAUCCCGGGGCUCAACCCCGGAACUGCCUUUGAUACUGGGUAUCUCGAGUCCGGAAGAGGUGAGUGGAAUUCCGAGUGUAGAGGUGAAAUUCGUAGAUAUUCGGAGGAACACCAGUGGCGAAGGCGGCUCACUGGUCCGGUACUGACGCUGAGGUGCGAAAAGCGUGGGGAGCAAACAGGG
RNAcentral lists this ribosomal RNA (254 nucleotides) under uncultured bacterium. RNAcentral's name for it is "partial 16S ribosomal RNA". It matches the Rfam family "Bacterial small subunit ribosomal RNA", at positions 524 to 777 of the family's 1533-position model. The record is from RNAcentral.